GAGCGUUGUAGUAAUCAGUCAAGUCUGACACAGGAGACAAUGCCACGCUGGAAUUUUCCGGCGUGAUAUAAUCGUUGUUGUUCAUUACACCAAAUUGUUGUCCCAUGCUAUUGUUGUUGUAAUCAUACGUCAUGAAUUGAUUGUUAGAGGUUAUGAUGCAAGAUGACGUGGCAGCUGAGCCUGUUGUGGUAGCGUUGGUUAGGGCUGCGGCGGAGGCAGAGGCGGAUUGGAUCCUCUCAACGAGCCUAGGCAUCCACAAAUACUUCAUUGUGUCUUUGAACUGUUGACUGUUUACAUCGCAUUUAAGCUGCUUUGCAUGUUUUUGCACUCGUGUUCUCCAGUAGUUUUUAAUCUCAUUGUCUGUUCUUCCUGGUAGAUAUUGUGCGAUUUUUGACCAUCUGUAUUUUAAAAGCACACAAAUUAAAUCCACUGUUUUAAACAUGAUAUAUUGCUAAUCAAACUAUUUUUGUUCAUCUAUUACAUUGCUAUUCAUUAGGAUAUCUCAAUAUCAUAUGUUUUAUCCAUUAACAAAUAUCUAUAUACAACGCCACAUAAGUUAAUAUAUUCUCCGUUUUUAAUAUCACAGCAUAUAUAUUUUGAUACACGAAAAUAUGUAAUAUACAGAUAGUAUCCUUUCAAAUAAAAUAUUUUGUGUACUUUUAGUUGGAAGCCGGUUUUAAUUAUCUUAAAAAGAGAGAUCGUUAAAUUGUUUAAAAUUUUAACUUUAUUUGUAUGAAAAGACAUAAAACAAUAAUUUCUGAUAGAAAAGAAGUAUAUCUCAUGAAACGAUAAAAUAUUACGUAUUAUAUUAUUUUGAAUUUGAAACGUACCGAUUGCCCCAACGGGAAUGAAGUUCGAGGAUCAAGAGUUGUUCUUCGAGGGUAAUGUUUCCACGGCGGACGUCAGGACGGAGAUAGUUUAACCACCGUAGCCUACAGCUUUUACCAGUGCGUUGGAGUCCUGUGAAAUUGGUAAAAGUAUGUAUAUGAUCAUUAAUUAACCAGUUGGUCAUGUAUAAGUAUAGUAUCAUGAUUCCAUACGGAAGAAACUCAUUUAAAUAAAAGUUUCAUAUUGAGUAAAGUUAUAUCAAGUUCUCAAACAAAAUAGAAAUGCACCGUAGUAUGAUGCAAAAUGCUAAUGGUCCUAAAGGGUCUUUUUUAUUUGCAAGCUUUCUUCCAUUGAGUUAGUGCUCUUCCCAUAGAGAUGAUGAUCAUUAAUUCGCAUUAGUUCUUUCUUUUUCACCCCCUUUUUAAUAACCAAACUUGGAUAUGUUAUUCAAUACUGAGAUGGUUGAUAAUUGAAUCCAUUACUAAAAGAUCUCACUCAAAUAAUCAAAUACUUUAUUUAGUUGAGUGAAAUAAUUUUUAGAAAUAAUAAAAAGAGUGAAACAAAGAAAUAUCAGUAUGCACUUUUUCAUUCAUACCUAUGAAGGGUCUUUUCAUCUAUGCAUAUAAAAGGAAGAAACCAUUUCUGAUGUUUUUUUUUUUUUGAAAAAAUCUCUUUUAAAAAUAGAAAAGGUCGGCAAUCUAAAAGAACAUAGAAAAAACACAAUCACACAUGGUGACUGAAACAUGAAAAGGAUUGAACAUAAAGUGAACAAAUCAAUUAUGUUAUGUGACUUGUCCUUUCUCUUUUAGCCAAAAAGAUGCACAUCGAAGUAGAACAUACAUGUAUUUUUUUCACAUAUACAACAUGUAUAUAUACGUGAAAUGAAUCAUACCAGCGCAACGAGAAAGCGAGUUCCAUCGACCUUCUCCAUUAGUAGCAAUGUAAUUUAUGAGCUUACAAUCUUCUUCUGCUGUCCAUGGACCUCUUUUCAGGUCCAUAUCGUCUUCCAUGUUGUUGUUCUUCAAGCUUCUUCCUCUCUCAUCCAUUGAUGCAAGCAGAAGAGACCCUCGAGCAAAACGAUCGAGUCUUUCUACUUUUUUCUAUGUGGUUUUGAGAGAGAGAGAAAUUGAUAUAUUUUUUUGGAGUUAUGUGUAGAUAGAGAAAGGAUGAGUUUUGGAUGCACAAGAAAAAGAGAAGUUGUGGGUUUUAUAGAAGAGAAAAGAUGAUAGUUUUCAAUUUUUCCUUUUAUUUUUAAAAAUUAUUUGGAACAUGUGCGAAGAGGGGAAUAGACAGCCGUAACAUAAGAACUGUGUUUAUUGAUUUAUUAAUUAUUAUCUUAAAUACUCCCCAUUCUGUUUGUAAACUUUUUUAAACUCAAAUUCCUUUUUGAAGUUAUAUAUUCAUGAUGUGUAAAAAGGGAAACUAUCGAAUACGAAUAGUCCAUUUGGGUGAACAAAUAUUCUCUUAUGCAAGGUAAGCUUCCAAGUUCCAUCGUACGAAUUUUACAAGCAUUAAAGCAAUAUUAUGAGUUAGCUUACUAACGAGGGAUUUUACAUUUUGAAUUUUGAUUCCUCAAACUUUAUAAUUACAAUGAUUGAAACACGUGCCCUUAGCCGAUACAAUUUUUACAUAUGUAAAUUUUAUAGUAUGGAAUGAUGGUGUUAUAAUAAGAUUGGUAUUGUAAACUUUAUUUCAUUUUUUUCUAAAAUUAGUUUUAGAUUAUAUUUGAAGACAUGUGGCAUUUCUUCCUUACAUACACACACGCAUAUAUUAUAUGAGUAAUAAUAAUUAAACAGAAUCUUGCAGUAUGUUAAAAUAUAAACUAAGCAUAAUAAUAUAAUUUUUUUUUUUUGGUAAAAUAAUAAUAUAAUUUUUUUACAAGGCUAAACUGAUAAUACAUAUAUUUUACAAGGAUCAAUAAGCCAAUUAUUUUCAAUAAACCAAAUUCAUUAAAUCUUUAUGUAAGAAGUACAUGUAAAAUUUUGUUUUCUUACAAAAAUUCACAUACUACGUAUUCUAGCUCCGCUAUUCAUAUUGUUUAUUCUCUCCUUUGAAAGUUAUUCGAUUUUUUUUAAUUAUUGUUUGAUCUUUUCAUAUACAUAUAUAAUAAAACUAACCGCUACAAAAUCUUAGCAAAACAAAAAAAACUAACCGCUAUAUAAAUAUUAUGCUACGUUGAUGAUAGAAUGAACACUAAUUCUAAAAUAAAGCUGCCAAUAAAAGCCUGUAUUUGAAGUUCAAAAAGAAGCAACUUGUACUAUAUAGUAGUAGUAUUUAAGAACAACAUGCUCCAGAAUAGUUAAUUUUGUGCAAAAACACGUUGUCGUCUUUAAUUAAUGAUGCUAGAAGUCUACACGUAGAGAAAGAUGCCGUCCAGUUAAAAUAUCAGUUAAUAGACUCUGGAGGAUUAAAGGGUUAAUUAUCACUUAGCACUUAAUUAAGCACUAAGUUUUAAAAGUUGACCCGCUGACUUCCAAUUCUGUGUGUAGUACUUAGUUCUAAAAAAAAAGAAACCCUGUGUGUAGCAUACUGAGUUUCUGUUUUCUGAUUUUGUUGAUAGCUAAUUUGUAUUUAUUUUCCACAUAUGAAUUGAGUUUUUCAUUAUUUUAAACAAGUUGCAAUAUAUAAUAUUUAUGUUUGCGCUGAAGAGUUUUUAUUUUAUUUUAAAUUUAUCCACUUCAUUCCGACCUUAAAAGCUCCAAAUUCAUGGUAAUAAGAGGACCCAAAAUUCAUGGUAAAAGAGGACAUGCCAAGAGACGAAGUUCGCCCUAGAGAGAGAACAUAACCACGCCGCCGCCGCUCUUACAUCUCGACGCCGGUGAGGCCCAUGGCCACCGGCGUCGGGCCCUCAAUUCCGUCUGUUUCAUCUCUGUUUCAGACGACUCAGACGAUUUACUGGGGCUAUAUUCGUAAAAAUGGCUUCUGUUUUUUUGUUUGGUCACAAGGGGCUGAGCUGUAAUUUCACUAGGCUUUUAGGUUAGUUUUGCAUUUGAUUCAAGUUUGGGUAUAGGUUUGGAGUUAAAAUCAAGUUGUGGGUUAGUUUUGGCAAAAACCCCAUUUUUAUACUAUGGUUAUUGCGAUUUUUUAAAAUUAUUUUAAUAGUUUAAAAUUAAACAAAUUUGAUAAGAUACAUUAUUGUUUUUAUCAGAUCUUUAUUAUUCAAAAUCAUUAAUUGUAAUAUAUACUUUAGCCACAUUAGGCAAUUCCGUAAUCUUUAUUUAAGGAAAUAAUAAAUUACAUUAAUAAUGAAUUUAUGAUUAGUUUAAUAAAAAGCUUAUUAUAUAAUUAGAUGGACGAACAUAUUUCUCUAAUAAUUCUAAGAAUCAUCCUAGUGAUGACACGUGACUACAAAAAUAAGUUGUAAUGUUUCACAAAUAAUACAUAGGGGAUUGUACUCAAUGGGAAGAAAUGAGGAAAGCCGUAUUAUUGCUUAAACGAUCAAGUUGAUAUAUAUAUAAAGAAAACGACUUCAACUAGUUUUUUUUACGGCUCACAUUUAAUGUCUAUACUGAAUAAAACGGAAAUAAAAGCUUAAGAAAAUAGGGUAUCCAAUAUAACAUUAAUAUCAAAUUUCAUUGAUAGUUAGAUGAUAUACUAACAUGUUGUCUUGAUUCUGGCCUAUUUUGUUUAACUAGAUUCAAUUAUUUUCAACAUUAAAUAUACAACAACCUUUAGAAGAGGUGAAACUAAUUAUACUACUCCUACUAUAAAUGAUGUGAUAAUAGCUAAAGUGCAUGGUCCAGUGGAUUGUUGGAGAGGGUAAAAUUAACCAAAAAUAUCAUAACAAAAUGAAACGGUGGAAGAUUUCUUUGUACCAAUAAUGUUUUAGUGGUUACUGUUGCAUCCUACAUAAAAGUCAUUAUUCCUUCUUUUUUGGGUCUAAAUGUUAAAUGUUCAGUCAAGUUAUUAUUCCUUGGAGAUAACUUCAUCUCUGUUUUGUUUUGUUUUAUUUUAGUUAACAAUUUACUAAAAAUAAUCUCGUGUUAUUUCCUAAACUGUGUUUUAAACAGAAUUGAGGUGUGGGAGCAGAUGAGGAAAUAAGGGUAAUAUAGCAGCUACCAAAGACAUGGACAUGGUGUUGCUUACGUGUUGCAGAGUAAGGACAUGGGUUUGUGUGGAUAAUGGUUUAACGGUCCGUACAAUAAUGCGGUUUUCCAAUAAUUAACUAAGGCUUCUGGAAUUUAGUGGUGGCUUAUCAUCACUUAGCAAAUAUUUUAACAAACAUUUAACUUUUCAAUGAAUAAACCUCUUAAUGUCCACCUUAAACUCAAAGCCUAGAUAACAGCCAACGAGCUUUCGCCAUGUGGUGUUGAGAAUAAAACGUUCAGUUUUUUAAUGUCUUCUUUUGAACCCAAAGAAAGGCUUUCACACACACUUUAUUUUCCAUAUACAUGCCCUAUAGACAUAGUUCCUAAAAAGCAAUACUACUUGGAUUAUCCAUUUUAUAGUACUAAAGUAAUUAUUAUAUAUCUUUUUUAAAUACUUUCUGAUGUGUUUGUUUUGUUUGUUUCUGUCAUAUCUUUGGUUAAAUAUUAAUCAUGGUGGAACCAAUUAUGAGCUUCGUCGUCGUUAUAUUAGUAAUUAAAUGAAUAAUGAUUUGGUUUAUGCUUCCAUUGAGGAAAUCACUCAAUAUAGUGUGAAAACAACUUCAGUUAUUUGUUUAAAGUAUACCCUCACACUGACGAACAAGUACUUGUUUUUGUAAAAUAAGUUAUACAAUUAUUGCAUCUAUAUUUAUGAAUAAACUACAAAAUAUCAUUACAGUCCCAAAACAGACAAAACCAAUCAAAUUCAGCGAUUUUUUAAAACGCCAUGACAUAUGAUCAAGCUUGUAAUAAAAAAGCUGAUCAUAUAUCCUAAGAUAAUAUCAUAAGCCCAUUACUUUUCUUUAAUUAUUACAUUGAACAAAUGCCUUUCACACGUAUACUUCGUGUUAAUUAAAUUAAGUACUUGAACAAUUUUUUAACUGUAUUCAGAAAUUGCCAUUAUUGUUGAACUGUUGUUGCUGCUGUAAGAACCAGAAGUCUUCAUAACUUUCUCCAAUGUCCCAUAAACUGUCCGAAGAAGAAGCAGCUCCAUUAAUAUUUUCAAACCAGUUAAGGUUACUCUGCUCCUGCAUAGCCGGUACAUCUUCGUCUAGUAACCUAGAAUAAUCGAAAUAAUCAUCCGGUAACAUUUGUGGACCCACCAAGUUCUGAUCCGGGUAGUAGCUAUUCCCCACUUGACCCGAGUGGUAUUCCGGGUUCGGGUUUGGAGCGUUGUAGUAAUCAGUCAAGUCUGACACAGGAGACAAUGCCACGCUGGAAUUUUCCGGCGUGAUAUAAUCGUUGUUGUUCAUUACACCAAAUUGUUGUCCCAUGCUAUUGUUGUUGUAAUCAUACGUCAUGAAUUGAUUGUUAGAGGUUAUGAUGCAAGAUGACGUGGCAGCUGAGCCUGUUGUGGUAGCGUUGGUUAGGGCUGCGGCGGAGGCAGAGGCGGAUUGGAUCCUCUCAACGAGCCUAGGCAUCCACAAAUACUUCAUUGUGUCUUUGAACUGUUGACUGUUUACAUCG
This 6380-nucleotide long non-coding RNA is filed under the name Brassica napus (rape). RNAcentral's name for it is "long non-coding RNA (BNAP_LNC010472)". Lineage: Eukaryota; Viridiplantae; Streptophyta; Magnoliopsida; Brassicales; Brassicaceae. The record is from RNAcentral.